CCACCUGACCCCAUGCCGAACUCAGAAGUGAAACGCCGUAGCGCCGAUGGUAGUGUGGGGUCUCCUCAUGCGAGAGUAGGGAACUGCCAGGCA
This 93-nucleotide ribosomal RNA is filed under the name Escherichia coli 2726950. Lineage: Bacteria; Pseudomonadati; Pseudomonadota; Gammaproteobacteria; Enterobacterales; Enterobacteriaceae. The record is from RNAcentral.